This 176-nucleotide non-coding RNA is filed under the name Butyricimonas paravirosa. Lineage: Bacteria; Pseudomonadati; Bacteroidota; Bacteroidia; Bacteroidales; Odoribacteraceae. The record is from RNAcentral.
UUGGUAUUACAUUCUGUUUCAGAUAUGUGAUAAAAGGGAAUCAGGUGUGAAUCCUGAACAGACCCGCUGCUGUGUACCUCAUUAAAGUCCGAGGACAAUGACUCUCUCCACUGUUUCAAUUUGAAAUGGGAAGGACGUCCUAGGAUGGGGUAAGUCAGAAGACCUGCCAAUCAAUC